RNAcentral lists this ribosomal RNA (253 nucleotides) under uncultured bacterium. RNAcentral's name for it is "partial 16S ribosomal RNA". It matches the Rfam family "Bacterial small subunit ribosomal RNA", at positions 524 to 776 of the family's 1533-position model. The record is from RNAcentral.
UACGUAGGUGACAAGCGUUGUCCGGAUUUACUGGGCGUAAAGAGCGCGCAGGCGGUCGUUCAAGUCGAGUGUGAAAGCCCCCGGCUCAACUGGGGAGGGUCACUCGAUACUGAUCGACUCGAAGGCAGGAGAGGGAAGUGGAAUUCCCGGUGUAGUGGUGAAAUGCGUAGAUAUCUGGAGGAACACCGGUGGCGAAGGCGGCAUCCUGGACCGAUACUGACGCUGAGGAGCGAAAGCCAGGGGAGCAAACGGG